RNAcentral lists this ribosomal RNA (560 nucleotides) under Klebsiella pneumoniae. RNAcentral's name for it is "bacterial SSU rRNA". It matches the Rfam family "Bacterial small subunit ribosomal RNA", at positions 972 to 1532 of the family's 1533-position model. The record is from RNAcentral. Lineage: Bacteria; Pseudomonadati; Pseudomonadota; Gammaproteobacteria; Enterobacterales; Enterobacteriaceae.
UACCUGGUCUUGACAUCCACAGAACUUUCCAGAGAUGGAUUGGUGCCUUCGGGAACUGUGAGACAGGUGCUGCAUGGCUGUCGUCAGCUCGUGUUGUGAAAUGUUGGGUUAAGUCCCGCAACGAGCGCAACCCUUAUCCUUUGUUGCCAGCGGUCCGGCCGGGAACUCAAAGGAGACUGCCAGUGAUAAACUGGAGGAAGGUGGGGAUGACGUCAAGUCAUCAUGGCCCUUACGACCAGGGCUACACACGUGCUACAAUGGCAUAUACAAAGAGAAGCGACCUCGCGAGAGCAAGCGGACCUCAUAAAGUAUGUCGUAGUCCGGAUUGGAGUCUGCAACUCGACUCCAUGAAGUCGGAAUCGCUAGUAAUCGUAGAUCAGAAUGCUACGGUGAAUACGUUCCCGGGCCUUGUACACACCGCCCGUCACACCAUGGGAGUGGGUUGCAAAAGAAGUAGGUAGCUUAACCUUCGGGAGGGCGCUUACCACUUUGUGAUUCAUGACUGGGGUGAAGUCGUAACAAGGUAACCGUAGGGGAACCUGCGGUUGGAUCACCUCCUU